UGGUGGAGUGAUUUGUCUGGUUAAUUCCGUUAACGAACGAGACCUUAACCUACUAACUAGUCCAAAUCUGCAUAAGAUAUGGUACUUCUUAGAGGGACUAUGCGUUUAAGCGCAUGGAAGUUUAAGGCAAUAACA
This 135-nucleotide ribosomal RNA is filed under the name uncultured eukaryote. RNAcentral describes it as "partial 18S ribosomal RNA". It matches the Rfam family "Eukaryotic small subunit ribosomal RNA", at positions 1299 to 1458 of the family's 1831-position model. The record is from RNAcentral.